CCUACGGGCGGCAGCAGUGAGGAAUAUUGGUCAAUGGGCGAGAGCCUGAACCAGCCAAGUCGCGUGAGGGAGUACUGCCCUAUGGGUUGUAAACCUCUUUUGUCGGGGAGCAAAAGCCGGACGUGUCCGCGUGUGAGGGUACCCGAAGAAAAAGCAUCGGCAAACUCCGUUCCAGCAGCCGCGGUAAUACGGGGGAUGCCAGCGUUUUCCGGAUUUAUUGGGGGAAAGGGGUGCGCAGGGGGGUUUUUAAGUUCGCGGUAAAAUCGUUGGGUUAAACCCCAUCGAGCCGUUGAAACUGGGGAUCUAGAGUGUGCGAGAGGUAUGCGGAACGCGUGGUGUAGCGGUGAAAUGCAUAGAUAUAACGCAGAACCCCGAUGGCGAAGGCAGCAUACUGGUGCACAACUGACGCUCAGGCACGAAAGCGUGGGUAUCGAACAGGAUUAGAUACCCCAGUAGUC
Molecule: ribosomal RNA, 458 nt
Filed under: uncultured bacterium
Lineage: Bacteria
Description: partial 16S ribosomal RNA
Rfam family: Bacterial small subunit ribosomal RNA
Source: RNAcentral